ACCUGUCCACAUGGGGCAGAGGGCUGAGGAUACAGAUGCUGGGGCCACAUAUGAAGCCCUAUUAUUCCCUCCUUGGAAGAAAGCACCCUCCCUCUACACGUGGCCCAGACGGCCCUCUGUGGGGUCAGCUUCCUGAAUCUGAGGGGUGGGCAGAGGGCCUGAGGGUUGCACAGAGAACUCAUCUUGGUUUUAAAACUGGCUGCGGCAGAGACACCUGGUUGAAAGGUAGAUUUUAGGCCGGGCACAGUGGCUCACACCUGUAAUCCCAGCACUUUGGGAGGCCGAGGUGGGUAGAUCACUUGAAGUCAGGAGUUUGAGAUCAGCCUGGCCAAUAUGGCGAAACCCCAUCUCUACUAAAAAUACAAAAAAUGAGCCGGGCAUGGUGGCGCAAGCCUGUAAUCUCAGCUACUCAGGAGGCUGAGGCAGGAGAAUCGCUUGAACCCGGGAAGUGGAGGUUGUGGUGAGCUGUGAUUGCGCCACUGCACUCCAGCCUGGGCCACACAGUGAGAUUCAGUCUCGGAAAAAAAACAACAAACAAACAAACAAAAGGGUAGAUUUUAGGAUCUCACUCUAGGUUUUCUGAACCUCCAGGGUUGCGGCUUGGAGAUCUGCCUUAAUAAGAGCCGCAGAGAGGGCUUGGAAGCCCGACCUUUGGGAAACACUGGCCCUCUCCCCUCCCCCUACCCACACUGGUCUUGGCCCCUGAAGGAUUUGGGGAGUAGACCUGUGAGAAGCAACCCCAUCUCCGAUCCCUGCAGCUGGGCUUGGGACCUUGAAGCCAGAACAACCCCAGGGAAGGAGGUCCAGGCUCAGGUAGCCACUGGCCUCUGGCUGACCUUGGAGGUCAACAUCUGGAGUCUGCAGGCUUUGUUGGGGAGGGGACAGGUCACCUUAGGCAGGGGACUUCACCUCUCUGGCCUCAGUCUCCACAUCUGUAAAGUGGCGCCAUACUUUCCCCCUACCUGGCAAGGAUGAUGAAGGACCAGAGAAAACAUGUCAGAUUCCUUUCUCUGAAUAGGGGCUCAGGAAACAGCGGCCUUGUUGACAGUGACUUAAGGUCAUCAGCAGAGGGGUCUCGGGUCAGGAGCCCCCAUGGGCCAGCAGCACACAGGACAGGAGCCUCGUGUCAGGGGCCUCUGCUGGGGAUAUCUGUCUUCCCAGCAGAACAGGGCUGGCCUUUCCUGAGUGGCUCCUGUUGGCCUCACACUGCGUGCCCCCGGGACAUAGGGCACCUGGACAGAGGUACACACACAGUCUUUCUCUCCAGUGACCCCAGGAGUCCUGGACCAGGAGGCAGAGGCUUGGGUGUGAAUUCUGGCAAACACAGGUCAGGGUGCUGGAACCCAGAGGCUGGAGGAGAACAUUCGGCCAGGGGAGGAAGGAGACGUCAGUCUGGCAGGACCAUGGCAGGCUGUAAGACACGCAGAGUGUUUGACUCUUUAGCUGCGAGCAAAGGGCAGUUGGCAUAGAGGGUCAGUGGGGAGUGGAAAGAGUUUGACUACAUCUGGGGCCUGAAAAGGCCCAAGAUGCACUCCGUGUCCCCACCAGGCAGGAUGGAAGUGGCAGCCCCCAAACCUGUCACACCAAAGCCAGCAGCUGCUCAUCACCCUCAGCCCAGCAUUCCUAUGAGUGGCACUCCCUACGAUCCCACUGGCCCCUAAGAUCUGCACCCCACUCCCUGGCAUCUGACGACGAUCCUGUCAUUUCUCCCCAGGUAGGGUUGCCAGAUCUAGCAAAUAAAAAUAAGGGAACUCAGGCAGGGCAUGGUGGCUCACGCCUGUAAUUCCAACACUUUGGGGGAGGCCAAGGCAGGCUGUUCAUUUGAGGUCAGGAGUUUAAGACCAGCCUGGCCAACAUGGUGAAACCCC
This 1868-nucleotide long non-coding RNA is filed under the name Homo sapiens (human). Its description in RNAcentral is "HSALNT0384505". Lineage: Eukaryota; Metazoa; Chordata; Mammalia; Primates; Hominidae. The record is from RNAcentral.